UGGCUCUCGCAUCGAUGAAGAACGCAGCGAAAUGCGAUAAGUAAUGUGAAUUGCAGAAUUCAGUGAAUCAUCGAAUCUUUGAACGCACCUUGCGCUCCUUGGUAUUCCGAGGAGCAUGCCUGUUUGAGUGUCAUUAAAUUUCUCAAUCCUUCUUUUUGUACACUAAACAAAAAGUAGAGGAUUGGAUGUUGGAAGUUGCUGGUUUUCUUACCAAGUCAGCUCUUCUUAAAAGCAUUAGCUUGGACGUUUGAAGAACUAAACUAGCUUUGGUGUGAUAAAUUAUCUACGCCAUUGUUACAUCUCUUCAAUGUAAUGUUUUAGCUUCUAAUUAACAUAAAUCUAGGUUGUUUACACCUUGAUUUCUUUUUGAUAAUUUGACCUCAAAUCAGGUAGGACUACCCGCUGA
Molecule: unclassified non-coding RNA, 406 nt
Filed under: uncultured fungus
Lineage: Eukaryota; Fungi
Description: partial contains 5.8S ribosomal RNA and internal transcribed spacer 2
Rfam family: 5.8S ribosomal RNA (bases 1-133)
Source: RNAcentral